UUAACGCGAAGAACCUUACCAGGACUUGACAUGCCACUUUUUCCNUGAAAGGGGAAGUUCCCGAGUGGACACAGGUGGUGCAUGGCGGUUGUCAGCUCGUGUCUUGAGAUGUUGGGUUAAGUCCCGCAACGAGCGCAACCCUUGUUUUGAGUUGCUAUUUUUAGGAAACUCAAAAGACUGCCGGUGAGAAGCCGGAGGAAGGUGAGGAUGACGUCAAGUCAGCAUGCCCCUUACGUCCUGGGCGACACACGUGCUACAAUGGCCGGGACAAAGAGAUGCAAUCCCGCGAGGGGGAGCCAACCUCAAAAACCCGGUCUCAGUUCGGAUUGUAGGUUGCAACUCGCCUACAUGAAGUCGGAAUCGCUAGUAAUCGCAGGUCAGGGUCUUGUACACACCG
RNAcentral lists this ribosomal RNA (397 nucleotides) under uncultured bacterium. RNAcentral describes it as "bacterial SSU rRNA". It matches the Rfam family "Bacterial small subunit ribosomal RNA", at positions 956 to 1392 of the family's 1533-position model. The record is from RNAcentral.